This 440-nucleotide ribosomal RNA is filed under the name uncultured bacterium. RNAcentral's name for it is "partial 16S ribosomal RNA". It matches the Rfam family "Bacterial small subunit ribosomal RNA", at positions 338 to 795 of the family's 1533-position model. The record is from RNAcentral.
CCUACGGGAGGCAGCAGUGGGGAAUAUUGCACAAUGGGCGCAAGCCUGAUGCAGCGACGCCGCGUGAGUGAAGAAGUCCUUCGUUAUGUAAAGCUCUAUUAGCAGGGAAGAAAAUGACGGUACUUGAGUAUGAAGUCCCGGCUAACUCCGUGCCAGCAGCCGCGGGAAUACGUAGGGGGCAGGCGUUAUCCGGAUUUACUGGGGGUAAAGGGAGCGUAGGCGGCAGGUCAAGUCUGGUGUGAAAGGCGGGGGCUCAACCGUCGGUCUGCUCUGGAAACUGGACGGCUGGAGGGCAGGAGAGGUAAGUGGAAUUCCUGGUGUAGCGGUGAAAUGCGUAGAUAUUAGGAGGAACACCAGUGGCGAAGGCGGCUUUCUGGACUGUAACUGACGUUGAGGCUCGAAAGCGUGGGGAGCAAACAGGAUUAGAUACCCCAGUAGUC